UGCCACCCCUGUGAGCCAGAUCUCAGCCCAGCAGCCCAGAACUCAGCCCAGUGCUCCGGUACCACCCCAACCCCUCCCUGUCCCCAGUGCCACCCACCUGGUGCCUCAGGCCUCUGUCUGGCCUGGGGUACCAGGUGUCUGGGGACAGGCAGCACAGCAGCUCCCACCUGGGGGGCUGCCCCCAACCGUGGCUCAGCUGCCACCUGGGGGCUUGCCCCCAACUGCGGGGCUGCACUUACCAGUGCUGCAGCUGCUGCCUGGGGGGCUGCACCCACGGAUGGCUUCCCCCACUGCCCCUGCUCACUGCUGGGGACAUCCCCUGCUGGCAGGGACGCUGCUGCCCCAGCAGCCCAUGGGGCUGUGGCCUGGGGCCGUGCCCCAUGCAGAGCCCCCGCAGCCCGCAGGCACCUGCCUGCCACAGGCCCCCGGCCGCCCCGGCCCCCCGCCACUUCUUUUGCAGGUACCGGCACUGCAGCAGCUGCAGCAGGACUGCUGCACGGGGAGCACCUGCACCUUGCCUGCCAGCUGGGAGCCGCUGACGGAGCCCUUUCAAGACGCCGUGCUGCUCAUGGAGGACCAAGGGCACCCGACGUCUGCCACCAUCCACACACGGCUCCACUCACCUGCAGCGCUGCCACGCCUAAAUCAGGCGCAGGGACAACAAGCACAGGCACCCUGCAGGACACAGCAGACAUGGAUCAUCUGCUGGCAUGGAUCGACCACGAAGUCACAUCCGAGACGGCCAUUCAAGACGACAGCGCAGACUUUGACCAGCUGCUGACGUGGAUCAGCCAGGAAGAGACACCCAGCAGCAACAGACGUGAGGACGAUGUGGAAAUGGACAAUUUCCUCACCUGGAUUCUUGAAGCGACGAGUGCUCUGGAGGUCCCCCAGCACAACCAGGGCCUGCCUGCAGUCACAAGAGAGGGGACCAAAGAGAAUAAGAACAACACAGAGCACCCUGACUCCCCGGGGGCCAGCAGGGAGCUCAGCAAAGAGCCCGAUCCUGAAUCAGGGCUCCUCGCAAACCCGCUCUGGCAGCAGCCAGCAUCCCCUGAGGUCACCUCAUCUAUCUUACCGCCUGCCAGGAGGUAAGGCACCGUGAGGGUGGUUUGGGGGAGACCAAAAGACGUAGGUGGGACAUGGAGGUGAGAUAGAUGGGGCAUGAACUGGAUCUCGAGAGAGGGGUGAGAAGGCAAGGUGGAUCAUGGGGGCAGGGGCACAGGUCAAGGGCCAAGUCCAGCUCUGCAACCACAGCAACAUGUUGGGGACGCCGGCCUGCGGCUGGGGAUGGAGCAGAGCAAGACGGAAAAGGGGGGAACAUUCAGGAACCGAAACAGUCUCGAAAUGGGGCUUUCUCCAUAGCUCAGCCUGCAGCGCAGCCACACGACUAGGCAGGCCUCAGACUCUGAUCCUGCUGCUGGUGCUUGCAGGGUGCAGCCUGCGGCUCAGUCCUCUUCUGGCACUGGGACUGAAUGGCCUGUGUGUCGAGAUGGCAGUGAGCCUCUCCACUCCAGGCUGAGCCACUCAGCUCUCCCAGAAUUCCAUCCCCUUUCUCAUCCCUCCAUUCCCACGCAGAACUGACUGAGGAGGGGAGGGAUGGGUCCAAUGGUGGUGGCAGAUCUGGGACACUGCCCUUUCUGCUGCCCACAUUGCCCACAGGCAGGCAGGCAGAGGUCUAGCCAAGUGAAUGCAAGGCAUUUAAUCAUUGAACGUAGCAAACAGUCAAGAAAUGACAGUAUUCCCAACCAUUUCCCACCCUAACAAUCCUUUCUGAUCCCACCCCCAAACCCACGACCAUCACUUCUCCCUCUGCCAAAAACCUCCCAGCCCCCUGUUGUAAUCCAAGAAGAAUGGCAGCAGCCAUGGAUCAAGAGAAGGACUUGACAGAGCAGCAGCUGUGGAGCAGGAUAAAGAGCAAACCCGUGUUGGUGGUGGAUGCGACAGGCAGUGCCAGCAGGGCGUCCCCUGCUUCAAGGUGCACUUCCUCUGUCAACCCACCACACAUUCUCUCCUGCAUUCAGGCUCUGAAGGAUUUCUUCCAUUGUACUCCAUAUCGCAUGGCAGUGCAUGAUACAGUGCCCAAGUCGGAACA
This is a long non-coding RNA of Coturnix japonica (Japanese quail), 2095 nucleotides long. The record is from Ensembl. NCBI's taxonomy places the organism in Eukaryota, Metazoa, Chordata, Aves, Galliformes, Phasianidae.